RNAcentral lists this transfer RNA (68 nucleotides) under Marmota marmota marmota (Alpine marmot). It matches the Rfam family "tRNA". From Rfam's summary of the family: Transfer RNA (tRNA) molecules are approximately 80 nucleotides in length. Their secondary structure includes four short double-helical elements and three loops (D, anti-codon, and T loops). RNAcentral also lists the same sequence under 2 other names. The record is from Rfam by way of RNAcentral. Lineage: Eukaryota; Metazoa; Chordata; Mammalia; Rodentia; Sciuridae.
GGAGUUGUAGCUUAGUGGUAGAGCACUUGCCUAGCACGUGUGAGGCCUGGGUUUGAUUCUCAACACCA